GUGUAUGAUUUGCCGGGACUCCGAACAUAAAGCUCCAAACAUUAUCCAAAUCGAGCUGAUGCACAAUUGUAACAAUUUCACAGGCUGUCCCAUCAUUAAAGCAAUAAAAAGAAAAUAAAGUUCCGGGACAAGAUCGAUGUGCUGCGGAAGUAACCAGCCCAGAUGCUGAAAUCCUGGUACGUGAAGGCCAGAUGGCUUAAUCUCACCAGUAGACAUUUGUUGAUGACAACCUACAUGUGUGUUAUAUUAAUUAUGCCGCAGCCAACCGCCAUUGCUUGUGCCCUCUUUGAAUUUUUGCAAAAUUGAUUGCACUGAACAUAUUGCCACGAGUAUACGUAAUCCCCAGACAACUGUGGUAC
This is a long non-coding RNA of Formica exsecta, 359 nucleotides long. RefSeq lists it as uncharacterized. The record is from RefSeq and is a predicted model, not a curated record. The transcript has 3 exons. Lineage: Eukaryota; Metazoa; Arthropoda; Insecta; Hymenoptera; Formicidae.